RNAcentral lists this ribosomal RNA (497 nucleotides) under uncultured bacterium. RNAcentral's name for it is "partial 16S ribosomal RNA". It matches the Rfam family "Bacterial small subunit ribosomal RNA", at positions 28 to 507 of the family's 1533-position model. The record is from RNAcentral.
GAUGAACGCUGGCGGCGUGCCUAAUACAUGCAAGUCGAGCGAACAGAUAAGGAGCUUGCUCCUUUGAAGUUAGCGGCGGAUGGGUGAGUAACACGUGGGUAACCUACCUAUAAGACUGGGAUAACUUCGGGAAACCGGAGCUAAUACCGGAUAACAUUUAGAACCGCAUGGUUCUAAAGUGAAAGAUGGUUUUGCUAUCACUUAUAGAUGGACCCGCGCCGUAUUAGCUAGUUGGUAAGGUAACGGCUUACCAAGGCGACGAUACGUAGCCGACCUGAGAGGGUGAUCGGCCACACUGGAACUGAGACACGGUCCAGACUCCUACGGGAGGCAGCAGUAGGGAAUCUUCCGCAAUGGGCGAAAGCCUGACGGAGCAACGCCGCGUGAGUGAUGAAGGGUUUCGGCUCGUAAAACUCUGUUAUUAGGGAAGAACAAAUGUGUAAGUAACUGUGCACAUCUUGACGGUACCUAAUCAGAAAGCCACGGCUAACUACGUG